AGCGCAUACGGUGGAUGCCUUGGCAGUCAGAGGCGAUGAAAGACGUGGUAGCCUGCGAAAAGCUUCGGGGAGUCGGCAAACAGACUUUGAUCCGGAGAUCUCUGAAUGGGGGAACCCACCUAGGAUAACCUAGGUAUCUUGUACUGAAUCCAUAGGUGCAAGAGGCGAACCAGGGGAACUGAAACAUCUAAGUACCCUGAGGAAAAGAAAUCAACCGAGAUUCCCUUAGUAGUGGCGAGCGAACGGGGAUUAGCCCUUAAGCUUCAUUGAUUUUAGCGGAACGCUCUGGAAAGUGCGGCCAUAGUGGGUGAUAGCCCCGUACGCGAAAGGAUCUUUGAAGUGAAAUCGAGUAGGACGGAGCACGAGAAACUUUGUCUGAACAUGGGGGGACCAUCCUCCAAGGCUAAAUACUACUGACUGACCGAUAGUGAACCAGUACCGUGAGGGAAAGGCGAAAAGAACCCCGGAGAGGGGAGUGAAAUAGAACCUGAAACCGUAUGCGUACAAGCAGUGGGAGCCUACUUGUUAGGUGACUGCGUACCUUUUGUAUAAUGGGUCAGCGACUUAUAUUCAGUGGCAAGCUUAACCGUAUAGGGUAGGCGUAGCGAAAGCGAGUCUUAAUAGGGCGUUUAGUCGCUGGGUAUAGACCCGAAACCGGGCGAUCUAUCCAUGAGCAGGUUGAAGGUUAGGUAACACUGACUGGAGGACCGAACCCACUCCCGUUGAAAAGGUAGGGGAUGACUUGUGGAUCGGAGUGAAAGGCUAAUCAAGCUCGGAGAUAGCUGGUUCUCCUCGAAAGCUAUUUAGGUAGCGCCUCAUGUAUCACUCUGGGGGGUAGAGCACUGUUUCGGCUAGGGGGUCAUCCCGACUUACCAAACCGAUGCAAACUCCGAAUACCCAGAAGUGCCGAGCAUGGGAGACACACGGCGGGUGCUAACGUCCGUCGUGAAAAGGGAAACAACCCAGACCGCCAGCUAAGGUCCCAAAGUUGUGGUUAAGUGGUAAACGAUGUGGGAAGGCUUAGACAGCUAGGAGGUUGGCUUAGAAGCAGCCAUCCUUUAAAGAAAGCGUAAUAGCUCACUAGUCGAGUCGGCCUGCGCGGAAGAUGUAACGGGGCUCAAACCACACACCGAAGCUGCGGGUGUCACGUAAGUGACGCGGUAGAGGAGCGUUCUGUAAGCCUGUGAAGGUGAGUUGAGAAGCUUGCUGGAGGUAUCAGAAGUGCGAAUGCUGACAUGAGUAACGACAAUGGGUGUGAAAAACACCCACGCCGAAAGACCAAGGGUUCCUGCGCAACGUUAAUCGACGCAGGGUUAGUCGGUUCCUAAGGCGAGGCUGAAAAGCGUAGUCGAUGGGAAACAGGUUAAUAUUCCUGUACUUCUGGUUACUGCGAUGGAGGGACGGAGAAGGCUAGGCCAGCUUGGCGUUGGUUGUCCAAGUUUAAGGUGGUAGGCUGAAAUCUUAGGUAAAUCCGGGGUUUCAAGGCCGAGAGCUGAUGACGAGUCGUCUUUUAGAUGACGAAGUGGUUGAUGCCAUGCUUCCAAGAAAAGCUUCUAAGCUUCAGGUAAUCAGGAACCGUACCCCAAACCGACACAGGUGGUCGGGUAGAGAAUACCAAGGCGCUUGAGAGAACUCGGGUGAAGGAACUAGGCAAAAUGGCACCGUAACUUCGGGAGAAGGUGCGCCGGCUAGGGUGAAGGAUUUACUCCGUAAGCUCAGGCUGGUCGAAGAUACCAGGCCGCUGCGACUGUUUAUUAAAAACACAGCACUCUGCAAACACGAAAGUGGACGUAUAGGGUGUGACGCCUGCCCGGUGCCGGAAGGUUAAUUGAUGGGGUUAGCGCAAGCGAAGCUCUUGAUCGAAGCCCCGGUAAACGGCGGCCGUAACUAUAACGGUCCUAAGGUAGCGAAAUUCCUUGUCGGGUAAGUUCCGACCUGCACGAAUGGCGUAACGAUGGCGGCGCUGUCUCCACCCGAGACUCAGUGAAAUUGAAAUCGCUGUGAAGAUGCAGUGUAUCCGCGGCUAGACGGAAAGACCCCGUGAACCUUUACUGUAGCUUUGCACUGGACUUUGAGCCUGCUUGUGUAGGAUAGGUGGGAGGCUUUGAAGCGUGGACGCCAGUUCGCGUGGAGCCAUCCUUGAAAUACCACCCUGGCAUGCUUGAGGUUCUAACUCUGGUCCGUGAUCCGGAUCGAGGACAGUGUAUGGUGGGCAGUUUGACUGGGGCGGUCUCCUCCUAAAGAGUAACGGAGGAGUACGAAGGUGCGCUCAGACCGGUCGGAAAUCGGUCGCAGAGUAUAAAGGCAAAAGCGCGCUUGACUGCGAGACAGACACGUCGAGCAGGUACGAAAGUAGGUCUUAGUGAUCCGGUGGUUCUGUAUGGAAGGGCCAUCGCUCAACGGAUAAAAGGUACUCCGGGGAUAACAGGCUGAUACCGCCCAAGAGUUCAUAUCGACGGCGGUGUUUGGCACCUCGAUGUCGGCUCAUCACAUCCUGGGGCUGA
Molecule: ribosomal RNA, 2504 nt
Filed under: Pseudomonas aeruginosa
Lineage: Bacteria; Pseudomonadati; Pseudomonadota; Gammaproteobacteria; Pseudomonadales; Pseudomonadaceae
Description: bacterial LSU rRNA
Rfam family: Bacterial large subunit ribosomal RNA
Source: RNAcentral